GUAGGGAAUGCCUUUAAGGAAACACCUUCUCCCUGCUAUGUGACCCACCAGAAUUGAACAUGGGGAAUGAUGGGGGUAGCAGGUCAUUUUGAAAUGGACCUUCAGGUAGUAUUGGGGGUGGAAAAAUCCCCUUUCUCUGACCACAUUUUGGCCACCCCAGCAACACCACCCCCCAGAGGUGUCAGUGCUUUGUGAUGUCCAAGCCACCCCAGGACUACCAUUGGAUAGGGGUGCCCCAUUCUGACCAAACAAAGCUGAAGGGUGGGGCUCCUCGACACCCAGGGCUGCGUAUACAUAAGGAAGUCAGGAGCAUGGGGUAGACCACCGGGAGGCUUCAAUAUGGCUAAGGAGACCCACACACCAGUGAAGCCCAAAGAAAAUACGAAACAACCAAUUGUAAGCACGAAAAAGCCAACCCCAAGAACCAAAGAGAAGAAGGAAAAGAACUCUUGCCAACAAAAGACCAACAAAACUGGCAAGGUGGAGAAGAAAAUCACAAAGGUAAAAAAACCCCUUCAAAGGAAUUCAAGAAAGAAAACUCAAUCACCUCCUUCCUGCUCCAAAAAGCCUAGGAUAACAAUGAGACCAACAAUAUUUGCGUGUCACCACAAGCAGAAUAAGACGCAAACUAAAACUCAGAAGAGCAAGCACAAAAUACAACGGAAAAUAAAAAUCACAAGAGCAAGCCCAGAAGCCAUUGGCAACAGCAAACCAUCCCAAGUAACCAUCUCUGCUGCCAGUAAAUGCAGAGCCUGGAUCAGAAAUGUACAACUAGCAACAGCAUCUCCAUAGGCAACUCUGGGGAAUCACCAAUCACAUAAAGGCCGAAUCUGAGACCAAGAGUGUUCCACCAUGUUGAUGAACGCAAUAAAAUCAGCACAAUGUGAAAAGAUGAUGUGGACUUUGUCUGUAGUGGGGAGGGGGUUAAGGAAGAAAAACUGGUAAGAGGGAGAGAGGCAGGCUCCUGCAUGGUUGGGGGCCAGACCAACAGGUAUACAGUUAGCCAUCGGGGGGGAUAAGGAGUGGGUGAGGACUAAGAAAUGAAGACUAAUGAACACUUUGCCCCCACAGACAAGAAGAAAAAGGGUUUUGGUGUUUCUACAUGUAUUUA
RNAcentral lists this long non-coding RNA (1111 nucleotides) under Macaca mulatta (Rhesus monkey). RNAcentral describes it as "lncRNA (ENSMMUG00000051813.1)". The record is from RNAcentral. Lineage: Eukaryota; Metazoa; Chordata; Mammalia; Primates; Cercopithecidae.